RNAcentral lists this ribosomal RNA (488 nucleotides) under uncultured bacterium. RNAcentral describes it as "partial 16S ribosomal RNA". It matches the Rfam family "Bacterial small subunit ribosomal RNA", at positions 28 to 507 of the family's 1533-position model. The record is from RNAcentral.
GACGAACGCUGGCGGCGUGCUUAACACAUGCAAGUCGAACGGAAAGGCCCUGCUUUUGUGGGGUGCUCGAGUGGCGAACGGGUGAGUAACACGUGAGUAACCUGCCCUUGACUUUUGGAUAACUUCAGGAAACUGGGGCUAAUACCGGAUAGGAGCUCCUGCUGCAUGGUGGGGGUUGGAAAGUUUCGGCGGUUGUGGAUGGACUCGCGGCUUAUCAGCUUGUUGGUGGGGUAGUGGCUUACCAAGGCUUUGACGGGUAGCCGGCCUGAGAGGGUGACCGGCCACCCGGGAACGGGAACACGGUCAAGACUCCUAAGGGAGGGAGCAGUAGGGAAUCUGAGGCAGUGGGCGAAAGCAUGACGGAGCGAGGGCGCGUGAGUGAUGAAGGCGUUCGGAUCGUAAAAAUCUGUUAUGAGGGAAGAACAAAUGUGGAAGUAAAUAUGCACGUAGUGACGGUACCGAAUAAGAAAGCAACGGCUAACUACGUG